This 272-nucleotide ribosomal RNA is filed under the name uncultured Eubacteriales bacterium. Its description in RNAcentral is "uncultured Clostridiales bacterium partial 16S ribosomal RNA". It matches the Rfam family "Bacterial small subunit ribosomal RNA", at positions 67 to 339 of the family's 1533-position model. The record is from RNAcentral. Lineage: Bacteria; Bacillati; Bacillota; Clostridia; Eubacteriales.
UUCUUCGGAAGAUUUCUCUUGUGACUUAGUGGCGGACGGGUGAGUAACGCGUGGGUAACCUGCCUCAUACAGGGGGACAACAGUUGGAAACGACUGCUAAUACCGCAUGACACAUUGGGGUCGCAUGGCCCUGAUGUCAAAGAUUUAUCGCUGAAAGAUGGCCUCGCGUCUGAUUAGCUAGUUGGUGAGGUAACGGCCCACCAAGGCGACGAUCAGUAGCCGGACUGAGAGGUUGAACGGCCACAUUGGGACUGAGAUACGGCCCAGACUCC